Molecule: ribosomal RNA, 433 nt
Filed under: uncultured bacterium
Lineage: Bacteria
Description: partial 16S ribosomal RNA
Rfam family: Bacterial small subunit ribosomal RNA
Source: RNAcentral
AACGAACGCUGGCGGCAGGCCUAACACAUGCAAGUCGAGCGAGAUCUUCGGGUCUAGCGGCGAACGGGUGAGUAACGCGUGGGAAUAUGCCUCUUGGUACGGAAUAGCCUCGGGAAACUGGGAGUAAUACCGUAUGUGCCCUUUGGGGGAAAGAUUUAUCGCCAAGAGAUUAGCCCGCGUUGGAUUAGGUAGUUGGUGGGGUAAUGGCCUACCAAGCCGACGAUCCAUAGCUGGUUUGAGAGGAUGAUCAGCCACACUGGGACUGAGACACGGCCCAGACUCCUACGGGAGGCAGCAGUGGGGAAUCUUAGACAAUGGGGGCAACCCUGAUCUAGCCAUGCCGCGUGAGUGAUGAAGGCCUUAGGGUUGUAAAGCUCUUUCAGCUGGGAAGAUAAUGACGGUACCAGCAGAAGAAGCCCCGGCUAACUCCGUG